UACGGGGGGAGCAAGCGUUGUUCGGAUUUACUGGGCGUAAAGGGCGCGUAGGCGGUCAGCACAGGUCAGUUGUGAAAUCUCCGGGCUUAACUCGGAACGGUCAACUGAUACUGUGCGACUAGAGUGCGGAAGGGGCAACUGGAAUUCUCGGUGUAGCGGUGAAAUGCGUAGAUAUCGAGAGGAACACCUGCGGCGAAGGCGGGUUGCUGGGCCGACACUGACGCUGAUGCGCGAAAGCCAGGGGAGCGAACGGG
Molecule: ribosomal RNA, 254 nt
Filed under: uncultured bacterium
Lineage: Bacteria
Description: partial 16S ribosomal RNA
Rfam family: Bacterial small subunit ribosomal RNA
Source: RNAcentral